GGAGGCGAUAAAAGGCGGCAGGGUCGGGCGGGUGCGGGUCCGGCUGCGGUGCCGCGGCAGGUGCUCAUGGAGCCGCAGGAGCCGCCGCGGGGCGGCCCCGCCGCGCUGGAGGCGCUGAAGCAGCGGGCGUGCGAGAGCGUGGAUCUGAACGCGGCGCGGCUGGGCGCGCUGAGCCGCGACAUCUGGAGCCGGCCCGAGCUGGCGUACGCGGAGCACCAGGCGCACGACACCCUGACCCGCUUCUUCUGCGGCGGGGACCUGCCCGGCGCCGCCUGGGCCGUGCAGCCGCGCUACAAGCUGGGCACGGCGUUCCGCGCCGACUGGGGCGCGGCCGGCCCGCGGGACCCGCUCCGCAUCGCCUUCCUGUGCGAGUACGACGCGCUGCCCGGGCUCGGGCACGCCUGCGGACACAACCUCAUCGCCGAGGUGGGAGCCGGCGCCGCGCUGGCGCUGAAGGCCGCCCUGGAGAGCCUGGCGGAGCCCGCGCCCGUGCAGGUCACGGUGCUGGGGACGCCCGCGGAGGAGCAGGGAGGAGGCAAAAUCGACUUGAUAAAGGCUGGAGCGUUCGAUGGCCUGGAUGUGGUUUUCAUGGCGCACCCCUCGCAGGAAAACGCGGCUUACCUGCCCGAUGUGGCUGAGCACGACGUGACUGUGAAAUACUAUGGAAAAGCUUCUCAUGCUGCUGCUUAUCCUUGGGAAGGAGUUAAUGCAUUAGAUGCUGCUGUUCUUGCGUACAACAAUCUGUCUGUUUUAAGACAGCAAAUGAAACCAACCUGGAGAGUUCAUGGUGUAAUAAAAAAUGGUGGUGUGAAACCUAACAUCAUUCCUUCUUACACUGAACUAGAGUUUUACCUGCGUGCACCUUCAAUGAAAGAGCUUUCUGUUCUGACAGAGAAGGUUGAGAACUGCUUCAAAUCUGCUGCACUGGCCACAGGAUGCAAAGUGGAAAUAAAAGGUGGUGAAAAUGAUUACUACAACGUGCUUCCAAAUAAGAGCCUCCAGCAAAUUUACAAGGAGAAUGGAAAGAAACUUGGAAUAGAAUUUAUAUCAGAAGAUGCUAUCUUGAAUGGUUUGUCAGGAUAUCAGUUUCUUCUGUUGAAAGGGAAGGAAGAUAGCUCAGUUGCUUCUCCAUGUCUGUGCAGCAGAAAAGUCGUAAACAGAUGAGCAAACUCGCUGCCACCUCUACAUGGGUAUUGGUAUCGGUCUGCUCACAGGUAUCGCUCUAGGCAGCUAAGCGUUGCAAAGAGUCUCUUGAGCACAUCAAAUCACACUACUCCGUGUGUGCCUUGUGCCCGCUCUGCUCACUUGGCACACAGCCAGGGUGACAUAAAUAACGUGAAACUGAGUUAGUUCGGACCAGGUGCCUUGGCCUGUUUCUCCUCCUACCGGCAGUAGGGCAGCUUUACUACAGGAUGCCAAUAACCUCCCAAAGAAGAUGGCUUAGUUGAGCAAGCCUUAGAUGAGGCACCCACACUUGUGAUAACUUUGAUGUUUUUAGCAUUGAUGGGGUUCAUUGGCUCCCUGUGCACAAGACCGAUACAGGCAAUAUUAAGAAGGAGCCAGUAUGCUUUGAAAAUGCCGCUCUUGAAGCUUGGGACUGUAUAUAAGUGUUUCCUGGAAUCUUUUGUAUUUUCCCCUCCAUUCAUGUUUGUGGUAAUACUGACUUCUAGUAAGUAAAUAUUCAGUGACUUGAAGAGGCUUCAGUAUUAGCUUCAGGAUACGUUUUUGAGUGGCUGGAGAUCCCAAUACCUCUCUGUUGAAGAUAGUGCAGAAUUCUGUAUAUUGCAACUGCAAUUAUUUAUACUUGUAGAAGGAAUCCUGAUCUGUAUGUGUCUGGCAAGCAUACAGUUUCAGAUGCUUUUAUGGAAGCCAUUGGAACACCUGAUGUUGUAAACGUGCAUCUAGUUUAUUACCACUAAAGGGCAUUUUUUCUGUUAGAGGGGAGAAUUUGACUGUCACAUUUUUAUUAAAAGCUGCCUGGAUUUUGGUUCUCUAUUACUAGAAAAUACCCAGUUUAAAUCCCUCUAUUCAGCAAAAAUAAUUUGUAAACUGGAAUUUUACAUGACUGAGAACUGUGAUGCACUGACAUUUCUGAUGUUUCAUUCAUUAAUUAAGAGCAGGGAAAAGGGCAGCACAGUCUUUCCAGUAGUUUAUGUAUUAGGACUUAGUAAGGCAAGUCUAGAACUCUUGGUUUAGUCUGGAGUAUGCAGAACUUUUAGACUUCUGGUUUGUCUAUCCAGGUUGACCAAAGAACGAAUCAGUAGUGUAAACUACUGGAAAUUGAAAUAACUUGUUACUGUGCCAAGACUUGGGUUUUCUUCAAAUGCAUAAUCAAUUUAUUGGAAAAGAUGUUUUUGGACAAGUCUUGCUUCUUCCGUUGUCUGUAAGCAAGGCAAAUAGCAAACUCUUGUCCUCAUAAUGUCGGCUCUGUGGACUCACUUUUAAUAACUGUAUACUUCCAAGUAAAAUCUAUAUUCUUCAAUCAUUUUAUUAUUAAAUCUUAAGGCAUUAGCAAUAUCUUCUCUCCACAAAGUAUCAUAAUGUGGAGGCUACCUGAUAAAAAUAAUUUUAAGUCUUUGGAACGGUCAUUUUGUACUAUAGAAACAAAUUCUUGCAUCUCUGGCCUGAAAAUAGUUAAUUGAGAUUUUAAUUAUCAUCCCAGUUUUUCCCUGCUACGACUUCCUCUGAUAUCUGGAUAUCACAAAAUGUCAUUUUAACAAAUAAUGAGUGGAUUGCUUGUGUGGGUAAAAAAAAAAAAAAAGGCACUUCAGUUGUAGUUGUAGACUCUUUGUCUACAGAUGAAGGAUCUACUACUUUGGGAUGGUAUCAUUCAACAGUUAAGGCAGUAUUGUGAGAUAGAUCCUAUCACUAGAUAACAUACUGAAAGUGCUAGUCAGACAUGAAAGAAUCAUCAUUAAAAUCUGAAGCAGGUUUUUUUUUCUUUUUAUAUCUGCAAAGCACUAGCAUUUUGUCUGGAGUUUAGUUCUGAUUUUAUUUCAAGAGUGCUUGUGCUGUUAAGAUUUCCAUAACUGAGAAUAAUCAAAGGGCAUGGGGGGAAGAACAGUUGUCUUCAGUCUGGUUUUGUUUAAAGAUAGAUUGUUUCUACUUCAGAGUCCUCUGUCUAAUCCUGAAUGUUUGCAUGUUGGUGAGAAGUGGGAAGUUUUGGGCCUAAUUUGAAGGGCUGUAACAGAAAAAUUGCUGAACUGCCAGAAAUGCCAGGGUUUGCAGCUUUCAUUGUUUUCAUAAUUAGCAGUUUACUAUUGGGAGAUGCUUGAUAAAAAAUUAACAGUAAAGGGAAUGGGAACAUGCUGAUACAUCUUCUGGCAGUCUGGAACUGAUCACUGAUCAGAAGCACACUGGAGAGCAGUAUCUGGAGAUGACUAGUUAGGGAAAGCACCUUGGAGAUGGGAAGUAUUUAUGGAUAAUGACUCAUUAGAAAUACUUUUAUUUUGUUAUUUGGGGCAAAGGAUAUUCUGUUUUAGAAACAAGCAGGAGGUAAUGUCUUUCAGGCAUUUUCUUACAGCAUUCAGAACUGUGCAACACUUGUUCAUGAAGAAAAUCUCCAUGCUCCUUCUAGGUUCCACAGACUUUGGAAAUGUUACAUUUGUGGUCCCUGGGCUUCAUCCUUAUUUUUAUAUUGGCUCUGAUGCGUUGAAUCAUACUGAGCAGUACACAGAAGCUGCAGGGUCACAGACUGCUCAGUUCUAUGCUUUGCGCACGGCAAAA
RNA transcript from Myiozetetes cayanensis, 3726 nucleotides. It is a transcript of the gene named peptidase M20 domain containing 2, with no coding region annotated. Lineage: Eukaryota; Metazoa; Chordata; Aves; Passeriformes; Tyrannidae. The record is from RefSeq and is a predicted model, not a curated record. The transcript has 7 exons.